RNAcentral lists this ribosomal RNA (1273 nucleotides) under metagenome. Its description in RNAcentral is "bacterial SSU rRNA". It matches the Rfam family "Bacterial small subunit ribosomal RNA", at positions 8 to 1282 of the family's 1533-position model. The record is from RNAcentral.
AGAGUUUGAUCCUGGCUCAGGAUGAACGCUAGCGGCAGGCCUAACACAUGCAAGUCGAACGGUAAGGACCACUUCGGUGGUUACACGAGUGGCGCACGGGUGAGUAACGCGUAUGCAACCUACCCUUAACAGGGGGAUAGCCCGAAGAAAUUCGGAUUAAUACCCCAUAAUACUAUAAAUAAGCAUUUAUUAAUAGUAAAAACUCCGGUGGUUAAGGAUGGGCAUGCGUACCAUUAGAUAGUUGGUAAGGUAACGGCUUACCAAGUCUACGAUGGUUAGGGGGCCUGAGAGGGUGGUCCCCCACACUGGUACUGAGACACGGACCAGACUCCUACGGGAGGCAGCAGUGAGGAAUAUUGCGCAAUGGACGAAAGUCUGACGCAGCCAUGCCGCGUGCAGGAUGACGGCCCUACGGGUUGUAAACUGCUUUUAUACAGGAAGAAAACUUUCAACGUGUUGAGAGUUGACGGUACUGUAAGAAUAAGCAUCGGCUAACUCCGUGCCAGCAGCCGCGGUAAUACGGAGGAUGCAAGCGUUAUCCGGAUUUAUUGGGUUUAAAGGGUGCGUAGGCGGAAUAAUAAGUCAGUGGUGAAAUCCUGCAGCUUAACUGUAGAACUGCCAUUGAUACUGUUAUUCUUGAAUAUAGUUGAGGUAGGCGGAAUGUGUAAUGUAGCGGUGAAAUGCAUAGAUAUUACACAGAACACCGAUUGCGUAGGCAGCUUACUAAGCUAUUAUUGACGCUGAGGCACGAAAGCGUGGGGAUCGAACAGGAUUAGAUACCCUGGUAGUCCACGCUGUAAACGAUGACCACUAGCUGUUGGCGAUACACCGAUCAGCGGCAAAGCGAAAGCAUUAAGUGAUCCACCUGGGGAGUACGGUCGCAAGAUUGAAACUCAAAGGAAUUGACGGGGGCCCGCACAAGCGGAGGAACAUGUGGUUUAAUUCGAUGAUACGCGAGGAACCUUACCUGGGCUUAAAUGCAGGACGACGAACUGGGAAACCAGUUUUCUCUUCGGAGCGGACUGCAAGGUGCUGCAUGGUUGUCGUCAGCUCGUGCCGUGAGGUGUCGGGUUAAGUCCCAUAACGAGCGCAACCCCUAUCGUUAGUUGCCAGCGGAUCAUGCCGGGGACUCUAACGAAACUGCCGGUGUAAACCGAGAGGAAGGUGGGGAUGACGUCAAAUCAGCACGGCCCUUAUGUCCAGGGCUACACACGUGUUACAAUGGUCGGUACAGAGGGUAGCUACUAUGUAAAUAGAUGCCAAUCUCGAAAAC